RNAcentral lists this ribosomal RNA (198 nucleotides) under uncultured bacterium. Its description in RNAcentral is "partial 16S ribosomal RNA". It matches the Rfam family "Bacterial small subunit ribosomal RNA", at positions 328 to 539 of the family's 1533-position model. The record is from RNAcentral.
ACGCUCGACACCUACGGGAGACAGCAGUGGGGAAUAUUGCACAAUGGGGGAAACCCUGAUGCAGCGACGCCGCGUGAGCGAAGAAGUAUUUCGGUAUGUAAAGCUCUAUCAGCAGGGAAGAAACUGACGGUACCUGACUAAGAAGCACCGGCUAAAUACGUGCCAGCAGCCGUGGUAAUCUGAGCGGGCUGGCAAGGC